This 433-nucleotide ribosomal RNA is filed under the name uncultured bacterium. RNAcentral describes it as "partial 16S ribosomal RNA". It matches the Rfam family "Bacterial small subunit ribosomal RNA", at positions 29 to 507 of the family's 1533-position model. The record is from RNAcentral.
AACGAACGCUGGCGGCAUGCCUAACACAUGCAAGUCGAACGAGACCUUCGGGUCUAGUGGCGCACGGGUGCGUAACGCGUGGGAACCUGCCCUUAGGUUCGGAAUAACUCCCUGAAAGGGGUGCUAAUACCGGAUAAUGUCUUCGGACCAAAGAUUUAUCGCCUUUGGAUGGGCCCGCGUUGGAUUAGCUAGUUGGUAGGGUAAAAGCCUACCAAGGCGACGAUCCAUAGCUGGUCUGAGAGGAUGAUCAGCCACACUGGGGCUGAGACACGGCCCAGACUCCUACGGGAGGCAGCAGUGGGGAAUAUUGGACAAUGGGCGAAAGCCUGAUCCAGCAAUGCCGCGUGAGUGAUGAAGGCCUUAGGGUUGUAAAGCUCUUUUACCCGGGAUGAUAAUGACAGUACCGGGAGAAUAAGCUCCGGCUAACUCCGUG